RNAcentral lists this transfer RNA (73 nucleotides) under Oenococcus sicerae. RNAcentral's name for it is "tRNA-Lys". It matches the Rfam family "tRNA". Rfam says of the family: Transfer RNA (tRNA) molecules are approximately 80 nucleotides in length. Their secondary structure includes four short double-helical elements and three loops (D, anti-codon, and T loops). Lineage: Bacteria; Bacillati; Bacillota; Bacilli; Lactobacillales; Lactobacillaceae. The record is from RNAcentral.
GGAUGCUUAGCUCAGUUGGUAGAGCAACGGACUCUUAAUCCGUGGGUCCAGGGUUCGAGCCCCUGAGCAUCCA